This 839-nucleotide unclassified non-coding RNA is filed under the name Hevea brasiliensis (rubber tree). Lineage: Eukaryota; Viridiplantae; Streptophyta; Magnoliopsida; Malpighiales; Euphorbiaceae. The record is from RNAcentral.
AUUUUGCCAAAAACAAGAGGAAUAAAAAACAGGGCCACCUCCAAGUUCCAAGCAAUGGCCCAAGCACUGGAAAUGCCGAAGGUAUCUUUAACUUACUCUUCCGGCCAACGGGAAAUGCCAGUAUUAGGCAUGGGCACAGCCGCCGAUCCCUUCGAUGAAGCCGCAACGAAAACGGCGAUCCUGGGGGCGAUCAACCUGGGUUACAGGCACUUCGACACUGCUCUACCAUACAGGUCAGAGAAACCACUAGGAGAAGCCAUAUCUGAAGCGCUUGCACGCGGUCUCAUCGGUUCUCGAGAGGAGCUGUUUAUCACUUCGAAGUUGUGGAUCGCCGAUAAUCAUGGAAAUCUUGUAAUUACUGCUCUCAAGAAUUCCCUCAGGUAAGAAAUCCAAAAAUAUUUCCAUAUCAGCACCAUGUAAUUGCUUUUGAUCCUUAUUGAUUAGUAAUCUCUUAAUUUGACUCUUUGUUCACUUCAAUAGCGAACAGGGUUCGAAUUGAACUAGUAUUCCAGUAGUAGGUACAAGGCCAUUCAUGGUUGAAAUCUUUGUUUCCCCUUUCCUUAUUUUCUCACAGAAAAAUGAAAUCUUUCAUUACACUUGAAAUUAUUCCCAGAAAAAUGACUACUUGAUGUUUACAUACUCCAUGUUUAACUGAAUUUGGUGGCUAAACAAGUGGGGCCUGAUAUAUCUUGUGAGGAACCCAUUCAGAACAGAACUGAUUUAUUUUAAUGAAAAAUCAAACCCAAAAUAGAAGGUUUUAUUAUUUCAUUGAGGUUUUCCAAAUUCAACAUCAUUUGAUGCUAACCGCUUUAGAUGACUAUUUUUUUACUAAUUGUGCA